AUGAUGUGCGGUUUCAGUACUACUAGCUGUGAGGAGGAGGAGGUUAGCCUUGAUGGCCAGGUGGUACCUCGGAAGGACACCUUUCGGUAUCUGGGGUCAAUGUUGCAGGAGGAUGGGGGUAUUGAUGAAGAUGUGAACCAUCGAAUCAAAGCCGGAUGGAUGAAGUGGCGCCAAGCUUCUGGCAUUCUCUGUGACAAGAGAGUGCCACAAAAGCUAAAAGGCAAGUUCUACAGGACGGCGGUUCGACCCGCAAUGUUGUAUGGCGCGGAGUGUUGGCCGACUAAAAGGCGACAUGUUCAACAGUUAGGUGUGGCGGAGAUGCGUAUGUUGAGAUGGAUGUGUGGCCACACGAGGAAGGAUCGAGUCCGGAAUGAUGAUAUACGAGAUAGAGUUGGGGUAGCACCAAUUGAGGAGAAGCUUGUCCAACAUCGUUUGAGAUGGUUUGGGCAUAUUCAGCGCAGGCCUCCAGAAGCUCCAGUGCAUAGCGGACGGCUAAAGCGUGCGGAGAAUGUCAAGAAAGGGCGCGGUCGAUCGAUUUUGACAUGGGAGGAGUCCGUUAAGAGAGACCUG
Molecule: ribosomal RNA, 570 nt
Filed under: Triticum aestivum (bread wheat)
Lineage: Eukaryota; Viridiplantae; Streptophyta; Magnoliopsida; Poales; Poaceae
Description: partial small subunit ribosomal RNA
Source: RNAcentral